This 376-nucleotide ribosomal RNA is filed under the name Cutibacterium acnes. RNAcentral describes it as "bacterial SSU rRNA". It matches the Rfam family "Bacterial small subunit ribosomal RNA", at positions 39 to 410 of the family's 1533-position model. The record is from RNAcentral. Lineage: Bacteria; Bacillati; Actinomycetota; Actinomycetes; Propionibacteriales; Propionibacteriaceae.
GCGGCGUGCUUAACACAUGCAAGUCGAACGGAAAGGCCCUGCUUUUGUGGGGUGCUCGAGUGGCGAACGGGUGAGUAACACGUGAGUAACCUGCCCUUGACUUUGGGAUAACUUCAGGAAACUGGGGCUAAUACCGGAUAGGAGCUCCUGCUGCAUGGUGGGGGUUGGAAAGUUUCGGCGGUUGGGGAUGGACUCGCGGCUUAUCAGCUUGUUGGUGGGGUAGUGGCUUACCAAGGCUUAGACGGGUAGCCGGCCUGAGAGGGUGACCGGCCACAUUGGGACUGAGAUACGGCCCAGACUCCUACGGGAGGCAGCAGUGGGGAAUAUUGCACAAUGGGCGGAAGCCUGAUGCAGCAAACGCCCGCGUGCGGGGAUG